UAGGGAAUCUUCGGCAAUGGGCGGAAGUCUGACCGAGCAACGCCGCGUGAGUGAAGAAGGUUUUCGGAUCGUAAAGCUCUUUUGUUAGAGAAGAACGUUGGUAGGAGUGGAAAAUCUACCAAGUGACGGUAACUAACCAGAAAGGGACGGCUAACUACGUGCCAGCAGCCGCGGUAAUACGUAGGUCCCGAGCGUUGUCCGGAUUUAUUGGGCGUAAAGCGAGCGCAGGCGGUUCUUUAAGUCUGAAGUUAAAGGCAGUGGCUUAACCAUUGUACGCUUUGGAAACUGGAGGACUUGAGUGCAGAAGGGGAGAGUGGAAUUCCAUGUGUAGCGGUGAAAUGCGUAGAUAUAUGGAGGAACGCCGGUGGCGAAAGCGGCUCUAUGGUCUGUAACUGACGCUGAGGCUCGAAAGCGUGGGGAGCAAACAGG
This 429-nucleotide ribosomal RNA is filed under the name Bacillota bacterium. RNAcentral describes it as "Firmicutes bacterium partial 16S ribosomal RNA". It matches the Rfam family "Bacterial small subunit ribosomal RNA", at positions 355 to 776 of the family's 1533-position model. The record is from RNAcentral. Lineage: Bacteria; Bacillati; Bacillota.